Molecule: ribosomal RNA, 402 nt
Filed under: uncultured bacterium
Lineage: Bacteria
Description: bacterial SSU rRNA
Rfam family: Bacterial small subunit ribosomal RNA
Source: RNAcentral
GGGCUCACACAAGCGGUGGAGGAUGUGGUUUAAUUCGAAGCAACGCGCAGAACCUUACCAACCCUUGACAUCCCGGGACCGGUCCAGAGAUGGGCCUUCCACUUCGGUGGCUCGGUGACAGGUGCUGCAUGGCUGUCGUCAGCUCGUGUCGUGAGAUGUUCGGUUAAGUCCGGCAACGAGCGCAACCCACAUCCUCAGUUACCAGCGGUUAGGCCGGGGACUCUGGGGAAACUGCCCGUGAUAAGCGGGAGGAAGGUGUGGAUGACGUCAAGUCCUCAUGGCCCUUACGGGUUGGGCUACACACGUGCUACAAUGGCAGUGACAAUGGGUUAAUCCCCAAAAACUGUCUCAGUUCGGAUUGGGGUCUGCAACUCGACCCCAUGAAGUCGGAAUCGCUAGUAA